Molecule: ribosomal RNA, 246 nt
Filed under: uncultured bacterium
Lineage: Bacteria
Description: partial 16S ribosomal RNA
Rfam family: Bacterial small subunit ribosomal RNA
Source: RNAcentral
UACGAAGGGGGCUAGCGUUGCUCGGAAUCACUGGGCGUAAAGCGCACGUAGGCGGCUUUUUUAAGUCAGAGGUGAAAUCCUGGAGCUCAACUCCAGAACUGCCUUUGAUACUGGAGAGCUUGAGUCCGGGAGAGGUGAGUGGAACUGCGAGUGUAGAGGUGAAAUUCGUAGAUAUUCGCAAGAACACCAGUGGCGAAGGCGGCUCACUGGCCCGGUACUGACGCUGAGGUGCGAAAGCGUGGGAGC